Molecule: long non-coding RNA, 213 nt
Filed under: Mytilus galloprovincialis (Mediterranean mussel)
Lineage: Eukaryota; Metazoa; Mollusca; Bivalvia; Mytilida; Mytilidae
Source: RNAcentral
GCUUUCUUUGCCACGUUUAAUACGUGGGUGGUCCAUUUGAGGUCUUCCGAAAUUUGUAGGCCUAGGUACGGGUUAUGCUUGACUUGUUGUAGUAUGUGUCCAUUUAAACUAGAUUUUAUGGCUUUUGUUUCUGAUGCUUAGGAUGUAGCAUUUUUUAGCAUUGAACCGCAUUCCCCAGUACAUCCACAAUGUACAAGCUUCUGACAAAAUAAU